RNAcentral lists this ribosomal RNA (549 nucleotides) under uncultured Gammaproteobacteria bacterium. RNAcentral describes it as "bacterial SSU rRNA". It matches the Rfam family "Bacterial small subunit ribosomal RNA", at positions 902 to 1451 of the family's 1533-position model. Lineage: Bacteria; Pseudomonadati; Pseudomonadota; Gammaproteobacteria. The record is from RNAcentral.
CAAAGGAAUUGACGGGGACCCGCACAAGCGGUGGAUGAUGUGGAUUAAUUCGAUGCAACGCGAAAAACCUUACCUACCCUUGACAUGCCAGGAACCCUGCUGAGAGGUGGGGGUGCUCGAAAGAGAGCGUGGGCACAGGUGCUGCAUGGCUGUCGUCAGCUCGUGUCGUGAGAUGUUGGGUUAAGUCCCGCAACGAGCGCAACCCUUGUCAUUAGUUGCCAUCAUUUAGUUGGGCACUCUAAUGAGACUGCCGGUGACAAACCGGAGGAAGGUGGGGAUGACGUCAAGUCCUCAUGGCCCUUAUGGGUAGGGCUUCACACGUCAUACAAUGGUCGGUACAGAGGGUUGCCAAGCCGCGAGGUGGAGCCAAUCCCAGAAAGCCGAUCGUAGUCCGGAUCGUAGUCUGCAACUCGACUGCGUGAAGUCGGAAUCGCUAGUAAUCGUGGAUCAGCAUGCCACGGUGAAUACGUUCCCGGGUCUUGUACACACCGCCCGUCACACCAUGGGAGUGGGUUUCACCAGAAGUAGGUAGCCUAACCGCGAGGGGGC